UACGAAGGGGGCUAGCGUUGCUCAGAAUUACUGGGCGUAAAGCGCACGUAGGCGGCUCUUUAAGUCGGGGGUGAAAUCCUGGAGCUCAACUCCAGAACUGCCUUCGAUACUGUAGAGCUUGAGUUCGGGAGAGGUGAGUGGAACUGCGAGUGUAGAGGUGAAAUUCGUAGAUAUUCGCAAGAACACCAGUGGCGAAGGCGGCUCACUGGCCCGAUACUGACGCUGAGGUGCGAAAGCGUGGGGAGCAAACAGG
RNAcentral lists this ribosomal RNA (253 nucleotides) under uncultured bacterium. RNAcentral describes it as "partial 16S ribosomal RNA". It matches the Rfam family "Bacterial small subunit ribosomal RNA", at positions 524 to 776 of the family's 1533-position model. The record is from RNAcentral.